AUUGAACGCUGGCGGCAUGCCUUACACAUGCAAGUCGAACGGCAGCACGGGAGCUUGCUCCUGGUGGCGAGUGGCGAACGGGUGAGUAAUACAUCGGAACGUACCCAGGAGUGGGGGAUAACGUAGCGAAAGUUACACCAAUACCGCAUAUUCUGUGAGCAGGAAAGCGGGGGAUCGCAAGACCUCGCGCUCUUGGAGCGGCCGAUGUCGGAUUAGCUAGUUGGUGCGGCAAAAGCUCACCAAGGCGACGAUCCGUAGCAGGUCUGAGAGGAUGAUCUGCCACACUGGGACUGAGACACGGCCCAGACUCCUACGGGAGGCAGCAGUGGGGAAUUUUGGACAAUGGGGGCAACCCUGAUCCAGCCAUGCCGCGUGAGUGAAGAAGGCCUUCGGGUUGUAAAGCUCUUUCGGCGGGGAAGAAAUGGCAACGGCUAAUAUCCGUUGUUGAUGACGGUACCCGCAUAAGAAGCACCGGCUAACUACGUGCCAGCCGCCGCAGUAA
RNAcentral lists this ribosomal RNA (502 nucleotides) under uncultured bacterium. Its description in RNAcentral is "partial 16S ribosomal RNA". It matches the Rfam family "Bacterial small subunit ribosomal RNA", at positions 30 to 523 of the family's 1533-position model. The record is from RNAcentral.